This 79-nucleotide small nucleolar RNA is filed under the name Macleaya cordata. RNAcentral describes it as "Small nucleolar RNA Z199". It matches the Rfam family "Small nucleolar RNA Z199". From Rfam's summary of the family: snoZ199 is a C/D box small nucleolar RNA, which acts as a methylation guide RNA for sites on 18S and 25S rRNA. Rice snoZ199 is reported to be homologous to Arabidopsis snoR13. The record is from Rfam by way of RNAcentral. Lineage: Eukaryota; Viridiplantae; Streptophyta; Magnoliopsida; Ranunculales; Papaveraceae.
GAAUCAUGUGACGAGAAAAAAACUGCAACAAUAUGAUGGAUUAUUUCAUGAUUCUUAUGUAUUUAAGUCUCUGGUGAUC